Molecule: non-coding RNA, 111 nt
Organism: Acanthosepion pharaonis
Lineage: Eukaryota; Metazoa; Mollusca; Cephalopoda; Sepiida; Sepiidae
Source: the annotation of a GenBank genome assembly
UAUGGCCAUAUCACGUUGAAACACCGGGUCUCGUAUUAUCACCGAAGUUAAGCAACGUUGAGCUUGGUCAGUACCUAGAUGGAUGGCCGCUUGGGCAUUACAGGUUCUGUA